AAGGGGAGUGAAAUAGAACCUGAAACCGUGUGCCUACAACAAGUCAAAGCCCGUUAAUGGGUGAUGGCGUGCCUUUUGUAGAAUGAACCGGCGAGUUACGAUUGCAUGCGAGGUUAAGUUGAAGAGACGGAGCCGCAGCGAAAGCGAGUCUGAAUAGGGCGUUUGAGUAUGUAGUCGUAGACCCGAAACCAUGUGAUCUACCCAUGUCCAGGUUGAAGGUGCGGUAAAACGCACUGGAGGACCGAACCCACGUACGUUGAAAAGUGCGGGGAUGAGGUGUGGGUAGCGGAGAAAUUCCAAACGAACUUGGAGAUAGCUGGUUCUCUCCGAAAUAGCUUUAGGGCUAGCCUCGGAAUUGAGAAUGAUGGAGGUAGAGCACUGUUUGGACUAGGGGCCCAUCUCGGGUUACCGAAUUCAGAUAAACUCCGAAUGCCAUUCAUUCAUAUCCGGGAGUCAGACUGUGAGUGAUAAGAUCCAUAGUCGAAAGGGAAACAGCCCAGACCACCAGCUAAGGUCCCAAAAUAUAUGUUAAGUGGAAAAGGAUGUGGGGUUGCACAGACAACUAGGAUGUUGGCUUAGAAGCAGCCACCAUUUAAAGAGUGCGUAAUAGCUCACUA
RNAcentral lists this ribosomal RNA (617 nucleotides) under Enterococcus faecium. RNAcentral describes it as "partial 23S ribosomal RNA". It matches the Rfam family "Bacterial large subunit ribosomal RNA", at positions 531 to 1147 of the family's 2925-position model. The record is from RNAcentral. Lineage: Bacteria; Bacillati; Bacillota; Bacilli; Lactobacillales; Enterococcaceae.